This 253-nucleotide ribosomal RNA is filed under the name uncultured bacterium. RNAcentral's name for it is "partial 16S ribosomal RNA". It matches the Rfam family "Bacterial small subunit ribosomal RNA", at positions 524 to 776 of the family's 1533-position model. The record is from RNAcentral.
UACGUAGGGGCCGAGCGUUGUCCGGAGUUAUUGGGCGUAAAGCGCGCGCAGGCGGCUUGGCGCGCCCGACGUGAAAGCCCCCGGCUUAACCGGGGAGGGUCGUCGGGUACGGCCAGGCUUGAGGGCGGGAGAGGGUGGUGGAAUUCCCGGUGUAGUGGUGAAAUGCGUAGAGAUCGGGAAGAACACCGGUGGCGAAGGCGGUGAGCUGGGCAGUUGCUGACACUGAGGCGCGACAGCGUGGGGAGCAAACAGG